GUCUUUUCAGACUGUACAGAUUUAUCCCCAGUCCUGACAUCAUGAUGUUUCUCAUAGUGUCGUUUCUCUUCCAUUGCAUUCAGUUCUUGACUCUCCUCUUUCAAUGCCAUCAAGUCUGUUUGUUCCUCAGUAUCUUCUUGUUUCACACUAAAUGUUUCUUCAAUCUUCACGUCUUCA
Molecule: long non-coding RNA, 177 nt
Organism: Megalobrama amblycephala (Wuchang bream)
Lineage: Eukaryota; Metazoa; Chordata; Actinopteri; Cypriniformes; Xenocyprididae
Exons: 3
Source: RefSeq, a predicted model, not a curated record